UACGGGGGGAGCAAGCGUUGUUCGGAUUUACUGGGCGUAAAGGGCGCGUAGGCGGCGCAACAAGUCACUUGUGAAAUCUCCGGGCUUAACCCGGAGCGGCCAAGUGAUACUGUCGUGCUAGAGUGCGGAAGGGGCUACUGGAAUUCUCGGUGUAGCGGUGAAAUGCGUAGAUAUCGGGAGGAACACCAGUGGCGAAGGCGACUACCUGGCCCAUUCUUGACGCUGAGGCGCGAAAGCUAGGGGAGCGAACGGG
Molecule: ribosomal RNA, 253 nt
Filed under: uncultured bacterium
Lineage: Bacteria
Description: partial 16S ribosomal RNA
Rfam family: Bacterial small subunit ribosomal RNA
Source: RNAcentral